RNAcentral lists this transfer RNA (62 nucleotides) under Protandrena bancrofti. Its description in RNAcentral is "tRNA-Leu". The record is from RNAcentral. Lineage: Eukaryota; Metazoa; Arthropoda; Insecta; Hymenoptera; Andrenidae.
UAUGGCAGAUUAGUGCACUGGAUUUAAACCCCAUUUAUAAAAUUUUUUAAUUUUUAUUAAAA